CGAACGCUGGCGGCAGGCCUAACACAUGCAAGUCGAGCGAGGGAGCAAUCUCUAGCGGCGGACGGGUGAGUAACGCGUGGGAACGUGCCCCUUGGUACGGAAUAGCCCCGGGAAACUGGGAGUAAUACCGUAUGAGCUCUACGGAGGAAAGAUUUUAUCGCCAAGGGAUCGGCCCGCGUUGGAUUAGGUAGUUGGUGGGGUAAUGGCCUACCAAGCCGACGAUCCAUAGCUGGUUUGAGAGGAUGAUCAGCCACACUGGGACUGAGACACGGCCCAGACUCCUACGGGAGGCAGCAGUGGGGAAUCUUGGUCAAUGGACGCAAGUCUGAACCAGCCAUGCCGCGUGAAGGAUGAAGGCCCUAUGGGUCGUAAACUUCUUUUAUUAGGGAAGAAAAAACCGGGAUGCGUCCUGUACUGACGGUACUUAAUGAAUAAGGAUCGGCUAACUUCGCGCCAGCAGCCGCGGUAAUCUGAUGGCGCGAGG
RNAcentral lists this ribosomal RNA (484 nucleotides) under uncultured bacterium. Its description in RNAcentral is "bacterial SSU rRNA". It matches the Rfam family "Bacterial small subunit ribosomal RNA", at positions 30 to 538 of the family's 1533-position model. The record is from RNAcentral.